Molecule: ribosomal RNA, 239 nt
Filed under: uncultured bacterium
Lineage: Bacteria
Description: partial 16S ribosomal RNA
Rfam family: Bacterial small subunit ribosomal RNA
Source: RNAcentral
ACGGGUGAGUAAUACUUGGGCAAUCUACCCUCAAGCGGAAGACAACCUGCCGAAAGGCGGGCUAAUAUUCCAUAAGACCACGGGGUUGCAUAAUCCAGAGGUCAAAGCUCCGCAAGGGGCGCUAGAGGAGGAGCCCGAGGCCUAUCACGGUAGUUGGCGGGGUAACGGCCCACCAAGCCUACGACGGGUAGCCGGCCUGAAAGGGUGAUCGGCCACACUGGCACUGAGACACGGGCCAG